AAAGUUAUAAGUUAAUAAAACUAUUAUCGUUCAAAGAUGAUUUUACCUCCUCCCUGGGUUGACUUUG
RNAcentral lists this transfer RNA (67 nucleotides) under Colpocephalum spinicollis. Its description in RNAcentral is "tRNA-Trp". The record is from RNAcentral. Lineage: Eukaryota; Metazoa; Arthropoda; Insecta; Psocodea; Menoponidae.